This 160-nucleotide ribosomal RNA is filed under the name Muribaculaceae bacterium. RNAcentral's name for it is "partial 23S ribosomal RNA". It matches the Rfam family "Bacterial large subunit ribosomal RNA", at positions 2752 to 2925 of the family's 2925-position model. Lineage: Bacteria; Pseudomonadati; Bacteroidota; Bacteroidia; Bacteroidales; Muribaculaceae. The record is from RNAcentral.
CGUCUGGGCAGGAUAAGUGCUGAAAGCAUCUAAGCACGAAGCCGGCUCCGAGAUUAGGUCUCGCCAAGGGUCGUCGCAGACUACGACGUUGAUAGGCCGCAGGUGCAAGCGUGGUGACGCGUUCAGCCGAGCGGUACUAAUUGCCCGCAGUUCCGGAAAA